Cricetulus griseus (Chinese hamster) is the source of this 547-nucleotide non-coding RNA. Lineage: Eukaryota; Metazoa; Chordata; Mammalia; Rodentia; Cricetidae. The record is from RefSeq and is a predicted model, not a curated record.
CAGCAGUUUGGAUUGGCCUCUGGCACCAGGGCUGUCAACUCACUGGCUGACACUGACAAUGUAAUAAGGCCUGGCAUGAAACAAAAAUGAACUCAACAAAUCAUAGUUUCUUUGGGCCUUUGGAAAUAAGAACUUCAGGAUGAAGCAACAAGUUUCCAAGGGUUUUGAAGCUCAAGGAAUGGAGGAAUCCUGACAGGCUAGGGAAGGCUGAAAUGUCAAAGCCUCUGAAAGACAACAGCUGUUGACACGAGGAGACAGAGAACUUCAGGCCCCUGCUGCCCUAGUGAAGGCUGCUGCGGAACCACUCGGAAAAUGUAUCAUUACGGAGAGCUGCCAAUGGUGAUGGCGUCUCCCUGGCACCAGCUACACAAUCUGAAACCUGUCUCGGAUCAGUCACAUAGACUGGAAGGGUACAGAGAGACAAAACAUCUGAUGCAGGCACCAGGGUCCCGGGAUCCCCUUCCACCACCUUGUCCUUGAGUCCAUGGCAGAUCCUACAGAUGGAGGCUAUGGCCAUGCUGAAGAGAGAGACCACAUAUCCAUGUGA